CAAUAGCGUAUAUUAAAGUUGUUGCAGUUAAAAAGCUCGUGGUUGGAUUUCUGGUGGGAGCGAUCGGUCUGGCGCUUAGCGCGAGUACUUGCAUCGUCUCCGGCCAUCCUUGGGGAGAGUCUGUCUGGCAUUAGGUUGUCGGGCAGAGGAUCCUCAUCGUUUACUGUGAAAAAAUUAGAGUGUUCAAAGCAGGCUUAUGCCGUUGAAUAUAUUAGCAUGGAAUAAUAAGAUAGGACUUUGGUACUAUUUUGUUGGUUUGCGCACCAAAGUAAUGAUUAAUAGGGACAGUUGGGGGUAUUCGUAUUCCGUUGUCAGAGGUGAAAUUCUUGGAUUUACGGAAGACGAACUACUGCGAAAGCAUUCACCAAGGAUGUUUUCAUUAA
Molecule: ribosomal RNA, 383 nt
Filed under: uncultured eukaryote
Lineage: Eukaryota
Description: partial 18S ribosomal RNA
Rfam family: Eukaryotic small subunit ribosomal RNA
Source: RNAcentral